Long non-coding RNA from Callithrix jacchus (white-tufted-ear marmoset), 7011 nucleotides. RefSeq lists it as uncharacterized. Lineage: Eukaryota; Metazoa; Chordata; Mammalia; Primates; Cebidae. The record is from RefSeq and is a predicted model, not a curated record.
CGUAGAGCUUCUCAUAGGACUCAUAUGGUGGAAUGUCGAUCCGGUUAAAGCUGAAAAAGGACAAAAGAAUGAGAGUCACUGCAUGGGCAGUCCAGCCCUAGGACCAACCUCAAGGCCAAGGACAGGUGGCAAGAAUAGAGACAAGGUCGCACUGGGUUGCCCAGGCUGCUCUCAAACUCCUGGCCUCAAGUGAUCCUCCUGCCGUGGCCUUCCAACAUGCUGGGAUUACAGGGGGAAACUGUUUUCCAAUAUUUGUGGAAAGAAAAAUGUCCUUUAAGAAGCAAACAAAAAAAUACAAAAUUGUGACCCAGAGGACAUGCAGUGACUUCUUCACUUCCUGGAGGUGCUGUGGCUUUUGAGUUCUGAUGAUGACAAAAAUAUUUUGGCAGAGACUCGGUCUAAAACAAAACUAACAUGACCGCCUAUCCUCCAGGACAGGCCCCAGGACUCAGUGACCUGCCAGCCGCAGUGCUUACCAGGCACGUUUCUGCCAUUAGGUUUCAGUUCAUGCUGAAGAAUCCGCCCGAAGGCAUUGUGUUCCACGCAGAAGGUGUGGUCCAGCACCGGUGUGAUGUCAUUCUCUCUGUUGAAGACAGAAGGUGACGUCAGUUAGAGUUCAGCCACCAUGUGCCAAUGAAAGGAACAUCAAGUAGGGCCAUCGGGUAGACAGAGAGAUGGCGUUUAGGACUCCCAGACCCAGGCUGCAAGAGAGGACAGCCGCAGGCGGACACGAAACCCAUAUGGGGGCGGCACCGCAAAUGGUGCUGGAGGACCCGGAGACCACAGUUCUGGUUCCAGAUGUCCCCGACUCCUGGCUUCCUCACUCACAGAAGGCGGGCAGCACUGAAGGCAGGAAAUUGACCUGGAGAUGAAGCCACACCAAGAAAAUACGAGUCCCGCCUUAGAGCCAGCCUUUCCAAACACAUCAGUUCAAAUGCAAAAGCACUUAAAAGUGAAAAUUAGCUCCUGAAUCUGCCAUAGGCAGAUUGGAAGUUUUGUUGUUGUUGGUUUUUUUUUGAGACAGAGACUCACUUUGUCAUCCAGGCUGGAGUGCAGUGGUGCAAUCUCAACUCACUGCAACCCCUGCUUCCUGGGUUCAAGAAGUUCUCCUGCCUCAGCCUUUUAGGAGCUGGGACUACAGGCACAUGUCACACCUGGCUUUGUUUGUGUGUUUUUAGUAGACACGGGGUUUCACCAUGUUGGCCAGGCUGGUCUCGAACUCCUGAUCUCAAGUGAAGUGCUUAAUAACAGGCAAUGAGCCAACAUACUGAGUGGAAGAUUUUCUACCCGGUCCCUGGGGUCCCCUCUUCACGUUGGAACAUGGGACAUACAACUAGGAGGCCCCCACUCCCACUCAUCCACAUUCCUUCUGUCUGCCAGAGCAGAGCCUGAUCUUUCAUCCCCACGAAAUCCACAAGACCUGUGACACAGUUCAUCUUGUCAUUGCCUGCUGCCCUUAACAGAAUGUCUAGAAUAAUUCUAAAGCAGAGGUACCUAAAUGUUCAAUUUGUUUUGAUAUGGGCUUGGCUCCUGUGAGGUUAACUGGAGACUCCCGUGAGUGUCACACACACCCCGAGCCUGGGGAGUAGUCUGUUAAAGUUCGUGAUCUUACCUUCAUAAUUCAAGGAAAUGAAAGAAUCUAGUCCCUGAAGAGAAGCCGGCCCAACAUCACAAGGAAAAUAAGGCAACUGAGUUUUUUGUUUUUUUUCUUUGGCUAGAUCUGGUGGGGUGGUUUUUUUUUUGUAUUUAUUGUAGUAGUAGGGUCUCAGGACGUUGCCCAGGCCCAGUCUCAAACUCCUGGGCUCAAGCAAUCUGCCCACUCUGGCCUCCCAAAGAACCUUCUUUUUUGUUUCAGGUUAUUUAAUACAAUGGCUUCUUUGUGUCUCUUCUUCAAUUUCACACCCAUCCCCAAAAUACACAAACGCACACGCAUGCAUGCAGACAACAGAGGUGGUGGCAUGUCCCACGCCAGGUAACCGUGCACCAUCAGUCAAUACUUACAGGAUCCACACCAGGCUCUUAUGCAGCUCCGGGUCCACGGAUUCCAGAUCCGAGAGCUGGAUGGGCUUUCCCAGGAGCUGCUUAUAGAAGGGCACUGUGAAGCCCCCAUUGAUGUAGUGCCCAUGAAACACGGCCAGCCCCAUGAUCCGCCCCACAAAGUGGAAGUAAGACAAGUGGUCCUGUAGGGGGCACCAGAAAACACAAAUUCAUCAGCACAACGCUGGUCAAUGUGGGAGUCUUCUUGGGAAGAGUGUCCCAGAGGCAACUCAGGAACUCACAGGCCGGGCUCAUGAGCAAGUGAAAGAAGGCUGCUUGUGUAGCUGAAUUUGCAUAGAGUCACUGGACAAUUUCAGGGCCAAUACCUCCUCAGACUAUAUAACUUGCAGAGGAGCCCAGUCCAGUGCAAAAUGAAAAUGCAGAGCCCAUGUUCAGCAACGACUGAGCAUUUCACCUUGUGACAACAGAAUCAAACCAAGCAUGGGGCCUUGACACUGCAGGGCCGCGGCAUCCUGCAGGACGCACGCCCAGGAAGCCAGCCCUGCAUUCCCUCCCACUGCACAAGAAAGACAAGGGCAAGCCCCCUUCUUCCACCACCCCUCCCUUGAUCCAGAAUGAAAGGAAUGAGGGAGGGAAGAAAUUCUAAGAAGGGGGAACAAAAAGACCACAGGAAAAUAUGUAUGAAUAAGCCAAGUAAAAUAAACAAUUCUAGGCUGGGCGUGGUUGCCCGUGCCUGUAAUCCCAGCACUUUGGGAGGCUGAGGCAGGCAGAUCACCUGACAUCAGGAGGUUGAAACCAGCCUGGCCAACAUGGUAAAGCCCCAUCUCCACUAAAAAUACAAAAACUAGCUGGGUACAGUGGCACAAGCCUGUAAUCCAAGCUACUCGGGAGGUUGAGGCGGGAGAAUUGCUUGAACCUGGAAGGCGGAGGUUGCAGUGAACUGAGAUCACAUCACUGCACUCCAGCCUGAUUAACAGAGCAAGACUACGUCUCAAAAAAAAAAACCAUUCUAGAACCAGAGCCGUCUGGUUUUUAACUCAGGAACCAUACGCCUCUGCUUUCAGGUUUGAAUUAUGUUCAUCUCAGAAAAUGAGUGAAAACUCUGCUUCCAUGUUGGUAAAAGGUUCUUCCACAUUUGAAUGCACAGGGGAGCCUGUCCCAACUUCGCCUCAGUGGCCUGAGCAGGACGCUGGUGAAGGCCGUGCCACAGGAGGAGUCUGCCCCUGGCCGGUGGCCCACCCUCAGGCGGAGUGUGCAAACACCACGCUGACUUCCUCAUCUCUAAAACAAGCACGCUAAGGGUGGCAUUUGUGGCUUAAGCCAGUUCUGGAAAGAUUCCAGUUGUGACUAGGAGGAGACUGGACUUCAGCAUCCACUCCUUAGAAUGCCACCAUUAACAAAUACAGUCAUCACACCAGAGUUUCCUCAGUGACCAUGAAGUGUCCUGAGUAUAUGAACAGCUCGAUCUCCCUCUUCAUCUCCUUCAACACAACAUGCCCAGUGAUCACAAUCUCUGAAAAUACAGGACCAAAAUCCAUCUUAAUCCAGUUUCCACUUUACCUUUCCAUGUUUUGCUUACCACCGCCUUUAAGUCUACAUGAAUAAACCAAGAACGGAGAAUGAAACUGAAACUCCAUCUCAAAAAUUCUCCAACCCAGUUUCCCCUUUGUUCAUUCAUACUUACGGGGUUGAUUGAAGAAUCUGGAUUUAUUUGCAACAUGUAAAUAUUGUCUGUGGAAUACUGGAAGAGCCCAUAAUAUGGAUUCAGCAUUUCAUGGCACAACAAAUAAAGCCAUUCCCUAGGAAAAAACAUUCAUUCAUUUUAUAUGUGCUAAAAUUUCUAGAUUUUUUUUUCUGAGACAGUCUCACUCUGUCACCAGGUUUGGAGUGCAGUGGCGCGAUCUCGGCUCACUGUAACCUCUGCCUUCCAGGUACAGGCGUGUGCCACCAGGCCUGGCUAACUUCUGUAUUUUCAUAGAGACAGGGUUUUACCAUGUUGGCCAGGGUGGUCUCAAACUCCUGACCUCAAAUGAUCCACCCACUUUGGCCUCCCAAAAUGCUGGGAUUACAGGUGUAAGCCAUCACACCAGGCCCGAGUUAUUAUUUUCUGAAUUUUUUAAAUGUUUUCAUCGUUUUAUUAUUUUUUUAACUCCAAAGUUCAAAACAGUUAAGCAAAAAAAAAGAAAAAGAAAGCAUUUUAAAUAGAGAUUGUAUGAUUCAGUGGCUACACUCAGGUUGCGAUAAGCCCAGCUAGCAGGGGAACUCUUAGACAAACACCUGUGGCAGAUACGCAAACAAUCUUUUAUUCAUUCUACUCAAAACGCCUUUUCAAUGGAUCACAUUAAGAUAGCAGCUCCAAAUUUUAUUUGGACUUUUCAAACAGAAAUGAGAGAGCACAGGGAAGGAUAAGCACAAAUGCAGAUAAUCUGUCCAAGAAAAUUGCUAGAAUACACAAAAAAUAUUAAAUGAAAACAGUUCUGUAUUGCACUCAGAAGAACAGAAAGGAACUGCCAGAAGAGAUGAGACUCCGAUUACUACAAAGCAACACUGCUGAAUUUUCAUUCCAAAGUUUGGAGUUUAGAUUUGAGAAGAACCUUUUUUGAAAAAGACAAAGACCUGCAAUUGUCUAGAGAGGAAGUGAUUACAAUACAAGCAAACGCCAUGGACGAGGUAGAUACAAUCAGCUCUGCUCUGGAAGUGGUAAGGGAAGCAAUAACUAAAGGCAAGAGAGAGCGGCUACAGGAAGGACUGCGGACUAAACACUGGGGAAAUGAGUGUAGCCUGGCUCUCACAGAUCAGAUAAUGAAUCCACACCUGCACAUGUGUAAUCCACAUGCAACUGACUUCUCUCCACCCUCUCUGAGAUAGGCAUGAUCCCAUUUAGAUGGGAGGAAGACUCCAGUGGUGAAAUAACACUACAAGACCAAGCUGGAGGUGGCAAAGCAGGGAUUCUCAACUCUUUCUACUCCAGCAUCAUGCCGUUCAAGGGGACGUCACAAAGACCUAUCUCCACACAGAAGACUGGACAACUAAGGAAAAUGCAGAAGGAAGGUAACUCCUACCAAACCAAACCAGGGAGUCUGAUGGCUAAGUCACAAGCAUUUCAGAACGACCAAAGCAAGGAAAUGUGCAAAGAAAUUAACAAAAAGUAAAAUUCAUUCAUCUGGUACAUAUAUACAGAGGUAAGUGUUUGCUAUGUGUUAGGUGCUGUUCUAAGAACUGGGGAUCAGCUGUGAACAAGACAGGGUUCCCGACUGCAUGCAGUUUGAGUCUCUCGGAAGAUGCAGACGAGAAACAUCACACACCUGUGCAGUGCACUUUGGGAGGACAAGAUGGGAGGAUGGCUUGACCCCAGGAGUUUGAGACCAGCCUGGGCAACAUAGUGAGACCUCAUCUCUACAAAAAAACUUAUAAAAGUAGCCAGGCAUGGUGGUGCACACAUGUAGUUCCAGCUACUUGGGAGGCUGAGGUGGGAGGCUUGCUUGAGCCUAGGAGGUCGAGGCUGCAGUGAGCUAUGAUUGUGCCACUGUAUCCAGCCUGGGCGACAGAGCAAGACCCUGUCUCAUAGAAAAAAAAAAAAAAAAUGACAAAACCACCCACAAUUGUCUUGAAGGUGAAAAGAGGCAGGACAUGAAAUAGCAGCUUUUCAUCAUUCUAUUCUGUUUUUUAUAUCAAUUUCUUGAAUUAUUUUGACCAAAAUUUCAACAUUUUAUCUUGCAAAAUUCCUUUAACACAAAUGUAAUUUACAUGCAAUUUACAUGCACAGAUGCAAUCCCUGUGGAGAGGAAAGCAAGGCUGCCUCCUGUGCUAAUUCAGGAACAUGUCCCUUAAGUUUCAGAUGAAGAGAGUGAGUUUAAAAGUUUAAUUCCAGCUUUACAGGAAGUCAGUCAGUGGUGACAAUCAGGGCUAUUCUGGUGGGUUAUGGCAAGAGGCUGGCACAAGCUCUGAAUUCUUAUUCUCAGCAGGGUGGCUGAAGCCAGCGCACGAUGGCCUGACUGCUCCAAGGAUACAUCGGCCCUGCCCAGGAGUGCUUGGUGAUGAGCACUAGAGAAGGGCAAGUGACUUCUCUUGAAAAAACUGUUAGAACUAUGCUGAAAUCCACGCAGCAGAGAAGGUGAAUGAAUUCGCAACUCACCUCGCCACUCCACCGUAAUCCAAACCUUCUUCCCCACGGAAUUUCACCAUGAGCCGUUUUUUCAAAUCUUUCGGUCUCAUCUUCAUUAUCUGGCGGGUCUGGGCAGUGGCCCUGAACUCUCUACCUCGAAGAUUUCUUCUCUGGACACUUCGAUUCGGCAAUGACCAGCCUGGGGCUGCUGAAGGGACAGUUCGUGUCUGAGGACCUUCAGCUUCUGGACUAGAUCUCUUUCGUAUCUCUGGGCAGGAAGCUCCUCAUCCUCCACAGAGCCCUCGCUGGGCAGUGGCAGCGGCUGGCUGGGCUCCUUGAGUUGGCACUGGUGACUUGAGAAGAAGAGACACAGAAAGUCACUCCAAAGCCCCAGCCAAGAAAGCUGCAAGCACCCACAUAUGCGACAGGGUUGGAGGAGAGAGCUUGCUGCACACAACUUCAGGCAGAAUUUGCUUCCCUGAUGACAUAACGAUGUACCUUGCUAGCUGUGUCAAAGCUGCUGAUGGCCACAGAAGCCCAAAUAUAAGUCUACAGUACAGUAAAGGAGGCACCCCAGGCCUGGCAUGGUAGCUUACACCUAUAAUCCCACCACUUGGGGAGGCUGAGGUGAGAGGAUCACCUGAAGUCAGGAGUUCAAGACCAGCCUGGCCAACAUGGCAAAACUGUGUCUCUACUAAAAAUGCAAGAAAUCUGCCAGGUAUGGUGGUGCGCACCUAUAAUCCCAGCUGUUUGGGAAGCUGAGGCAUGAGAAUUGCUUGAACCUGAGAGGCGGAGGUUGCAGUGAGCCAAGAUCAUGCCACUAUCCUCCAGCCUGGGCGACAGAGCCAAACUCCGUCUCCAGAAAAAAAAAAAAAAAAAGAAGUACCCCAAUUCCAAGCAACCACUUA